GGAAAAUAACUCCAAGAGGAAAUUGACUGUGAAGCCUUAUGGAGUGCCCCCUCAAGAUGGGGAAAAAAAAGAAAAGAGAGAAAUAUAAUCAAGCACUCAGAGUGGAGAAAAUUAAGUGCUGGCGGAGCAGCAGCCAUGCCUAUGCGGACAAAUAAGGAAGUACAAGCAUGAAAGCAAAAUCAGAGGAACAUUUCCUGGACAGCAUUCCCAUCUCCAGGACUAUGUGCUGGUGACCCUUAGAAGUCAGACCCCAGCCUCACCGACCCCUGGUCACUGGGCGCCUCUGAAUGCUGACCUCCAGCCCAAGGUCUGCUCAUCAAACUGUGUGAAAUGAACGCAAGAGUGAAGGAACACAGCGGCGAGUCAAGGACAGAAUAAAUAACUGUCAGAAAGUUCCCCGAGGGGCCACUGCAGCACCGAGCCUCGCCGUCCUUCAGGUGUCCCGAGCACAAGGCCAAGGCCAUCCCUACCUGCGGACGAUCCUCAGAAGUGUUGUUUGCCUGGAGAGUCACAUCCCCACACAGCUCAAAAUCAUCAGAAUAGUCCACAGGAGGUUCGAUGUGGAGCCGUGGGCCAGCUUCUGUUCUGAUCUGCACAGAUUUCUGUACAAAAAUGCAGGCCAUUUCAGAUAAGGUGGAAUGAGGUCUUUAUUCCUCUGCGGGGCAGGGACUGGCACUGGAGAGGUUCAGCCAGGAUCUAUGGGCAUAGAUACCAUGGGGUGGUGUGCCUGCAUGCAACAGCAGUGGUGUCAUGAUGAGCAUGGGCCACAGGCCUCCUCCUCAUCCGGGCCAGCACUGGAUGGGCCAUGCCACCUCGCUCAAGAGUCUACUGUUUCUUGCUGUCCAAAGAACGUGCA
This 856-nucleotide long non-coding RNA is filed under the name Pan troglodytes (chimpanzee). Its description in RNAcentral is "long non-coding RNA NONPTRT006267". Lineage: Eukaryota; Metazoa; Chordata; Mammalia; Primates; Hominidae. The record is from RNAcentral.